Long non-coding RNA from Uranotaenia lowii, 956 nucleotides. RefSeq lists it as uncharacterized. NCBI's taxonomy places the organism in Eukaryota, Metazoa, Arthropoda, Insecta, Diptera, Culicidae. The record is from RefSeq and is a predicted model, not a curated record. The transcript has 3 exons.
CCCGUGAUACAAUCAGUUAUAAACCAAUUUUGUGUUACAAGCAUUACGAGCGAUUUCCACGCACGACCCACAGUCCUCCCGUUUACAUUUUCGUUUGUUUAUUUACUCUCCACUUUUGCGCGACUGCGGUGUUUUAGUUUAUAAGAAGAAUUUCAUCUUGGAGUCUUUCAGCAUCAGUAUUUUGCAGCGUCUUAGAAAAAGCUAGAAGCAUAAACCUACACUUCGGGAGCGUAAAGUUUCAAAGAAACUCAAAAAAUACUUCUGGAACGUUUGCCUUGAAGGAAACUGGUUCUAAACGUGAGCGGUAACAUUUCUGCUUCGGAAAAGGGUAGCGAUUCAUCUGGCUCAUCAUACAUCUGGAUGAGGUAUCUUCUUCACUGAGUGGCUAUUCCGGGAGGCGUAAAAAAACUAGAAGCGAAGAAAAAAGAAAAAAGGACAUCAGACCGACACCGGAGAGCCGAAGUCAUGCAGCACAAUUCCGAUACUGCCAGAAAUGGAAACAGAAAUCUAUUCCUUCCAUUCAUCCGGCUACACCACCAAAGCCAGUCACUCCUUUCACCACAUUCAGAGGCAAGAAGGAAAUCAUGGCAGAAAGAUCGGAUACCAUCGAUGAACCCCAUCCCAGCUCAGUUCUGCUAUAAUUCCACUUUUCAAUCGGGCAAUAAAGUGCACUAUAGUUGCUUGAUUCGGGUUCCGAAAAUAUCUGGUUCGAAUUGCAGCGCCCGAGGUUUUAUGUGACCCAGACUUGAAGCGAUUACCAGUGACAAAUCUAAUAUAGUUUAUGCGUGAAAAGAUCUUUUCUGGUUCUUGGUAUAGCUCGGACUGAUAAGCUUCUCAGGCAAUCAAUGAUCAUCACCAGACCGUUGGAUUUCAUCACCAAGCAUAGAAAAUUAGUACAGUGGUUUUUUACGAUAAUUUUAAGCUCGUCGUCCCAGGUGAGUGAAAAUUGACCGAUG